Molecule: ribosomal RNA, 253 nt
Filed under: uncultured bacterium
Lineage: Bacteria
Description: partial 16S ribosomal RNA
Rfam family: Bacterial small subunit ribosomal RNA
Source: RNAcentral
UACGAAGGGGGCUAGCGUUGUUCGGAAUUACUGGGCGUAAAGGGCGCGUAGGCGGCGUGUCAAGUCAGGCGUGAAAGCCCCGGGCUCAACCUGGGAACCGCGCUUGAGACUGGCAUGCUCGAGUUCGGGAGAGGAUGGUGGAAUUCCCAGUGUAGAGGUGAAAUUCGUAGAUAUUGGGAAGAGCACCGAUGGCGAAGGCAGCCAUCUGGACCGACACUGACGCUGAGGCGCGAAAGCGUGGGGAGCAAACAGG